GACGAACGCUGGCGGCGUGCUUAACACAUGCAAGUCGAACGGAAAGGCCCUGCUUUUGUGGGGUGCUCGAGUGGCGAACGGGUGAGUAACACGUGAGUAACCUGCCCUUGACUUUGGGAUAACUUCAGGAAACUGGGGCUAAUACCGGAUAUGAGCUCCUGCUGCAUGGUGGGGGUUGGAAAGUGUCGGCGGGUGGGGAUGGACUCGCGGCUUAUCAGCUUGUUGGUGGGGUAGUGGCUUACCAAGGCUUUGACGGGUAGCCGGCCUGAGAGGGGGACCGGCGACAUUGGGACUGAGAGACGGCCCAGACUCCUACGGGAGGCAGCAGUGGGGAAUAUUGCACAGUGGGCGGAAGCCUGAGGCAGCAACGCCGCGUGCGGGAUGACGGCCUUCGGGUUGUAAACCGCUUUCGCCUGUGACGAAGCGUGAGUGACGGUAAUGGGUAAAGAAGCACCGGCUAACUACGUG
RNAcentral lists this ribosomal RNA (468 nucleotides) under uncultured bacterium. RNAcentral's name for it is "partial 16S ribosomal RNA". It matches the Rfam family "Bacterial small subunit ribosomal RNA", at positions 28 to 507 of the family's 1533-position model. The record is from RNAcentral.